ACCCGGUCCCUUUCCGAACCCGGCCGUUAAGUGCCACCGCGCCAAUGGUACUGCGUCUCAAGACGUGGGAGAGUAGGUCAUCGCCAAAC
RNAcentral lists this ribosomal RNA (89 nucleotides) under Marivita sp. Lineage: Bacteria; Pseudomonadati; Pseudomonadota; Alphaproteobacteria; Rhodobacterales; Roseobacteraceae. The record is from RNAcentral.